UGGGGAAUAUUGCACAAUGGGCGCAAGCCUGAUGCAGCCAUGCCGCGUGUAUGAAGAAGGCCUUCGGGUUGUAAAGUACUUUCAGCGGUGAGGAAGGGAGUAAAGUUAAUACCUUUACUCAUUGACGUUACCCGCAGAAGAAGCACCGGCUAACUCCGUGCCAGCAGCCGCGGUAAUACGGAGGGUGCAAGCAUUAAUCGGAAUUACUGGGCGUAAAGCGCACGCAGGCGGUUUGUUAAGUCAGAUGUGAAAUCCCCGGGCUCAACCUGGGAACUGCAUCUGAUACUGGCAAGCUUGAGUCUCGUAGAGGGGGGUAGAAUUCCAGGUGUAGCGGUGAAAUGCGUAGAGAUCUGGAGGAAUACCGGUGGCGAAGGCGGCCCCCUGGACGAAGACUGACGCUCAGGUGCGAAAGCGUGGGGAGCAAACAGG
This 429-nucleotide ribosomal RNA is filed under the name Chloroflexota bacterium. RNAcentral describes it as "Chloroflexi bacterium partial 16S ribosomal RNA". It matches the Rfam family "Bacterial small subunit ribosomal RNA", at positions 355 to 776 of the family's 1533-position model. Lineage: Bacteria; Bacillati; Chloroflexota. The record is from RNAcentral.